CAUCAGGUGCAAACAGACAAAGAAGCAGACGCCGUGCCUCACCUGUGAACUCAGAGGACGACGAACAGUUCAUCCCCUGGUCUUUUCAGAAAAGUGACAUCAUGGCAACCAAAACAGCUGAAGAUUUCAAGAAACCAGAAGAUAGCAGCUCUGACAUCAAGGAC
Neolamprologus brichardi is the source of this 164-nucleotide non-coding RNA. Lineage: Eukaryota; Metazoa; Chordata; Actinopteri; Cichliformes; Cichlidae. The record is from RefSeq and is a predicted model, not a curated record.